Non-coding RNA from Zonotrichia albicollis (white-throated sparrow), 593 nucleotides. The record is from RefSeq and is a predicted model, not a curated record. Lineage: Eukaryota; Metazoa; Chordata; Aves; Passeriformes; Passerellidae.
GUUGCUGCUGCUCCCUGAAGGGAUGGUUGUACCCACAGGAGGCUCAGGUGUGGGCGGGUUGGGUGGAGUUUGGGAAUGCGGCGGAAUUUCUCAAGUCCCACCUGUUGUGCGUGGAUCACCCCAAAGAGGACUUUCCCAGCUUUGUUUUCCCAGCUUUGUUUUCCCAGCUUUGUUUUCUCAUUCCCUGAGGUGCUUGCCCUGCACCUUUUGCUCUGGAGAACGCAUGGGUUCAGUAAAUCAGGCCUGAAGAUGUGUGUGAGCAGCGGCAACGGCAGCGAGGGGACCCCGAGGGCAGCACAGAAGCACCUCCACGUGCCCUCCAUCAUCGUCACACCGCCCACACCCACGGGCACCGCGCUGGCCCGCCGUGGGGAGGGUCCCUCGCCCUGCAGCCCCUGCUGAGAGAGGGGACACCGGGGGCACCCACGUCGGGAUGGAGCCACAGCCCCCAGGGCACGGCUGCUGCUGCCAGGGACACGCGGGGCACCCACACGGGUGGGUUUGGACACCUGGGAUUGGGGUUUGUCCCUUUUCCUGACAGCGACGGGGAGGGGGAUCCUCCCCAUGGUGAAUAAAACCCCAUGGGCUCUGCA